This 326-nucleotide small nuclear RNA is filed under the name Chinchilla lanigera (long-tailed chinchilla). Its description in RNAcentral is "7SK RNA (ENSCLAG00000021949.1)". It matches the Rfam family "7SK RNA". Rfam says of the family: 7SK was discovered as an abundant small nuclear RNA in the mid-70s but a possible function has only recently been suggested. Two independent studies have found that 7SK RNA binds the CDK9/cyclin T complex (known as elongation factor P-TEFb). P-TEFb activates transcription by phosphorylating the C-terminal domain of RNA polymerase II. The record is from RNAcentral. Lineage: Eukaryota; Metazoa; Chordata; Mammalia; Rodentia; Chinchillidae.
GGAUGUGAGAGUGAUCUGGCCAUGACAUCUGUCAACCCUUUGAUUGCCAGGGUUGAUUUGGUUAAUCUGGCUGGCUUGGCAGGUGUCCCCUUCCACCCUUACCGUGCCAUAGCAUCCCACCUAAAGCUGUGCAUUUGGUUGAAGAGGAUGACCUUCCUUCCCCGAUAGAGGAGGGCCAUUUCCUCAGCCAGAGGUGUACAAGUGGCUGCACUCUCUCCUAAGACCUCCGCACAAGCUCUCAAGGAUAAGUGUCUACGGAACACACUGUCUCAAUUCAAGCAUCAUCUGAACAGACGACACAGGCUGACGGGACUGAGUCUGCUUGU